GUUAGGAAUAUUGGACAAUGGGCGCAAGCCUGAUCCAGCCAUGCCGCGUGAGUGAUGAAGGCCUUCGGGUUGUAAAGCUCUUUAGUCCACGAAUAUAAUGACUGUAGUGGAAGAAUAAGCCCCGGCUAACUUCGUGCCAGCAGCCGCGGUAAUACGAAGGGGGCGAGCGUUAUUCGGAAUCACUGGGCGUAAAGCGUGCGGAGGCUGUUUUGUAAGUCAGAAGUGAAGGCCCAGGGCGUAACCCUGGAAUUGCUUUUGAAACUACAAGACUCGAAUUCGGGAGAGGAUAGCGGAAUUGUCAGUGUAGCAGUGAAAUGCGUAGAUAUUGACAGGAACACCAGUGGCGCAAGCGGCUAUCUGGACCGAUAUUGACGCUGAGGCACGAAAGCGUGGGGAGCAAACAGGAUUAGAAACCCGGGUAGUCC
Molecule: ribosomal RNA, 425 nt
Filed under: uncultured bacterium
Lineage: Bacteria
Description: partial 16S ribosomal RNA
Rfam family: Bacterial small subunit ribosomal RNA
Source: RNAcentral